UGGGGAAUAUUGGACAAUGGGCGAAAGCCUGAUCCAGCCAUGCCGCGUGUGUGAAGAAGGUCUUCGGAUUGUAAAGCACUUUAAGUUGGGAGGAAGGGCAGUAAGCGAAUACCUUGCUGUUUUGACGUUACCGACAGAAUAAGCACCGGCUAACUCUGUGCCAGCAGCCGCGGUAAUACAGAGGGUGCAAGCGUUAAUCGGAAUUACUGGGCGUAAAGCGCGCGUAGGUGGUUCGUUAAGUUGAAUGUGAAAGCCCCGGGCUCAACCUGGGGACUGCAUCCAAAACUGGCGAGCUAGAGGAGGGGAGAGGGUGGUGGAAGUUCCUGUGUAGCAGUGAAAUGCGUAGAUAGAGGAAGGAACACCAGUGGCGAAGGCGACCACCUGGGCUCAUACUGACACUGAGGUGCGAAAGGGUGGGGAGCAAACAGG
This 429-nucleotide ribosomal RNA is filed under the name Pseudomonadota bacterium. RNAcentral's name for it is "Proteobacteria bacterium partial 16S ribosomal RNA". It matches the Rfam family "Bacterial small subunit ribosomal RNA", at positions 355 to 776 of the family's 1533-position model. The record is from RNAcentral. Lineage: Bacteria; Pseudomonadati; Pseudomonadota.